GCGGCGGUAGUCUAGCCUGGUUAGGACGUCAGCUCCCCGGGCUGAUGGUCGCGGGUUCGAAUCCCGCCCGCCGCA
Molecule: transfer RNA, 75 nt
Filed under: Candidatus Bathyarchaeota archaeon
Lineage: Archaea; Thermoproteati; Candidatus Bathyarchaeota
Description: tRNA-Gly
Rfam family: tRNA
About the family: Transfer RNA (tRNA) molecules are approximately 80 nucleotides in length. Their secondary structure includes four short double-helical elements and three loops (D, anti-codon, and T loops).
Source: RNAcentral